This 512-nucleotide ribosomal RNA is filed under the name Aeshna crenata. Its description in RNAcentral is "partial 16S rRNA". It matches the Rfam family "Bacterial large subunit ribosomal RNA", at positions 1830 to 2597 of the family's 2925-position model. The record is from RNAcentral. Lineage: Eukaryota; Metazoa; Arthropoda; Insecta; Odonata; Aeshnidae.
GUCUUCUUGUUAUAUUUAGGAAGUCUGGCCUGCCCAGUGAAAAUAAUUUAACGGCCGCGGUAUACUGACCGUGCAAAGGUAGCAUAAUCAUUAGUCUUUUAAUAGAGGGCUGGUAUGAAGGGUUUAACGAGGUGUUGACUGUCUCAUUUAAUUUGAAUUUAGAACUUAAUUUUUUAGUUAAAAAGCUAAAAUUUUAUUGGAAGACGAGAAGACCCUAUAGAGCUUUAUAUUUUUAUUAUUAAUUUAUUAUAGAUUAUUAUUAUUUAUUAUUGGUAUAAAAUAUUUUGUUGGGGUGACAAAAAUAUAUAAAUAACUUUUUUAUUUCAUUUACAUUGCUAUAUGAAUAUUAGAUCCAAUCUUAUUGAUUGUUAGAUUAAGUUACCUUAGGGAUAACAGCGUAAUCCCUCUCCAGAGUUCAUAUUUACAGAGGGGCUUGCGACCUCGAUGUUGGAUUAAGAUAAUAAUUAGGUGUAGCCGCUUAAUUAAUAGGUCUGUUCGACCUUUAAAUUCUU